AAGCGAGAAACGGUCUCUUACCGGAGACACUCGUAGUGGCGAACGGGCUGAAGUAACACGUGGGCAAUCUGCCCUGCACACCGGGAUAAGCCUGGGAAACUGGGUCUAAUACCGGAUAGGACCACUUGGCGCAUGCCUUGUGGUGGAAAGCUUUUGCGGUGUGGGAUGGGCCCGCGGCCUAUCAGCUUGUUGGUGGGGUGACGGCCUACCAAGGCGACGACGGGUAGCCGGCCUGAGAGGGUGUCCGGCCACACUGGGACUGAGAUACGGCCCAGACUCCUACGGGAGGCAGCAGUGGGGAAUAUUGCACAAUGGGCGCAAGCCUGAUGCAGCGACGCCGCGUGGGGGAUGACGGCCUUCGGGUUGUAAACCUCUUUCACCAUCGACGAAGGUCCGGGUUCUCUCGGAUUGACGGUAGGUGGAGAAGAAGCACCGGCCAACUACGUGCCAGCAGCCGCGGUAAUACGUAGGGUGCGAGCGUUGUCCGGAAUUACUGGGCGUAAAGAGCUCGUAGGUGGUUUGUCGCGUUGUUCGUGAAAUCUCACGGCUUAACUGUGAGCGUGCGGGCGAUACGGGCAGACUAGAGUACUGCAGGGGAGACUGGAAUUCCUGGUGUAGCGGUGGAAUGCGCAGAUAUCAGGAGGAACACCGGUGGCGAAGGCGGGUCUCUGGGCAGUAACUGACGCUGAGGAGCGAAAGCGUGGGGAGCGAACAGGAUUAGAUACCCUGGUAGUCCACGCCGUAAACGGUGGGUACUAGGUGUGGGUUUCCUUCCUUGGGAUCC
Molecule: ribosomal RNA, 784 nt
Filed under: Mycobacterium kansasii
Lineage: Bacteria; Bacillati; Actinomycetota; Actinomycetes; Mycobacteriales; Mycobacteriaceae
Description: bacterial SSU rRNA
Rfam family: Bacterial small subunit ribosomal RNA
Source: RNAcentral